RNAcentral lists this small RNA (616 nucleotides) under Histoplasma capsulatum var. duboisii H88. RNAcentral describes it as "Histoplasma capsulatum H88 hypothetical RNA". The record is from RNAcentral. Lineage: Eukaryota; Fungi; Ascomycota; Eurotiomycetes; Onygenales; Ajellomycetaceae.
UGCUUAAAGGCAUAUUGGAGGGGUUGAAUGUUGGAUUUGAUCUCACACUUGUUGCUGGCACCGGGGGGAUGAUAGGGGCGAAAAAUCCACUUCAGCUCUACUUCAACCUAGAUGAUCUCGCUAAUCACGAUUUGUUUGCCGAACACGACGCAAGUUUAUCACGAGGCGACAUUUACUUUGGUGACAAUAUCAGCUUCAACGCGACGAUUUGGCAGAGCGUCCUCGACUACUUCAUCGACGACCGCACUGUGAGCUUGGGAGCAGCUGCUCACGCACGGCUAAAUCGAAUCAAAACGGAAAGAGCACGAAAUCCUGAUUUCACAUUUAAUGCGAAGGACGAUAUAAUUAGCUAUACUGAAACUGCGCAGUAUUUAAGUGUUUUUGGGAACCCUGAUACAGGAAACCCUCGAGUUGAUUGGAUCAGGAUUUUCUUCGAGCAAGAACGGUUGCCAUAUCUUGAGGGAUGGCAGCGACCAUCGAAACAAACGAAUGCGCUAACGCUGGCGCCUUUAAUCGCAAAGCUCAUGAUUGCCGGCGGAGAAGUUCUUCCCGAGACAUUAAUGAUGGUAGAAAACACUUUGGGAAAGAUAUUGACUGGCAAACCCAUAGAAGGUUU